This 440-nucleotide ribosomal RNA is filed under the name uncultured prokaryote. RNAcentral describes it as "partial 16S ribosomal RNA". The record is from RNAcentral.
CCCUACGGGGUGCAGCAGGGGGAUCAUUCUGCAGGAACUUGAAAAUCGUCGCGAAUGGAAGGUCUUUCAGUGCCGAGGUGAGGCGAUGCAGCCGGCGGAUGCGGACGUAGUUGAAGGUUUAUUGAAAAAUUUAGCUCAGGCGCAAGUUUUGCAUUUUACCCACGAUGCGCCUUCAGAGUUGGAUUUAGAGAAUUUCGGUCUUAAACAGCCUCGGCUGACGGUACGUAUGGUCGGACAAGGCGUUGAGGUGUGCGUUUAUUUUUCGGACCUUGUGCGCGGCAAAUGUUACGCAAAAAUUAAAGACCAACCUUUUAUUUACGAAGUUUCGCCGAUGUUGUUGAACAUGCUGUCGUUAGAUCCCAUUUUUUAUUACGAUCGGCACUUGAAUGUUGUACCGGCCGGCGCGAAAGUGGUCAACGUAAGGCUGUUGGCGGGGGGGC